This 422-nucleotide ribosomal RNA is filed under the name uncultured archaeon. RNAcentral's name for it is "partial 16S ribosomal RNA". It matches the Rfam family "Archaeal small subunit ribosomal RNA", at positions 323 to 746 of the family's 1478-position model. The record is from RNAcentral.
CUACGGGUGGCUGCAGGCGCGAAACCUUUACAAUGUACGUAAGUGCGAUAAGGGAACUCUCAGUGCUCAUGUAAUGCAUGGGCUUUUGUUAAGUGUAAAUAGCUUGGCGAAUAAGUGGUGGGUAAGACGGGUGCCAGCCGCCGCGGUAACACCUGCGCCACAAGUGGCAUUCACGUUUACUGGGCCUAAAGCGUUCGUAGCCGGAUAGGUAAGUCUUAAGUGAAAUCGUUGCGCUUAACAAAACGACGUGCUUGAGAUACUGUUUAUCUUGGAACCGGGAGGAGUUAGGGGUAUUCCAGAGGGAGCAGUAAAAUGCUAUAAUCUCUGGAGGACCACCUGUGGCGAAGGCGCCUAACUAGAACGGGUUCGACGGUGAGGAACGAAAGCCAGGGGAGCAAAACGGAUUAGAUACCCGCGUAGUC